Molecule: non-coding RNA, 144 nt
Organism: Gossypium hirsutum (cotton)
Lineage: Eukaryota; Viridiplantae; Streptophyta; Magnoliopsida; Malvales; Malvaceae
Source: Rfam
UUUUUUAAAUUUCAUCUAUUUAUAUUAUUAAAAAUUAAUUUGUCUGACGAAAUAAUCAAAUAGUGAUACAUAAUAUGUCACAUGUAUUCAUAUUGAUGUACAAAGAUCAAUUUUUAAUAAUACAAAUGAAUGAAAUUUUUAACA